GGGUAGUUUGACUGGGGCGGUCUCCUCCCAAAGAGUAACGGAGGAGCACGAAGGUUGGCUAAUCCUGGUCGGACAUCAGGAGGUUAGUGCAAUGGCAUAAGCCAGCUUAACUGCGAGACGGACAGGUCGAGCAGGUACGAAAGUAGGUCAUAGUGAUCCGGUGGUUCUGAAUGGAAGGGCCAUCGCUCAACGGAUAAAAGGUACUCCGGGGAUAACAGGCUGAUACCGCCCAAGAGUUCAUAUCGACGGCGGUGUUUGGCACCUCGAUGUCGGCUCAUCACAUCCUGGGGCUGAAGUCGGUCCCAAGGGUAUGGCUGUUCGCCAUUUAAAGUGGUACGCGAGCUGGGUUCAGAACGUCGUGAGACAGUUCGGUCCCUAUCUGCCGUGGGCGUUGGAUGAUUGAAGGGAGUUGCUCCUAGUACGAGAGGACCGGAGUGAACGAACCUCUGGUGUUCGGGUUGUCACGCCAGUGGCACUGCCCGGUAGCUAAGUUCGGAAUCGAUAACCGCUGAAAGCAUCUAAGCGGGAAGCGAGCCCUGAGAUGAGUCAUCCCUGACCCCUUGAGGGUCCUAAAGGGCCGUUGGAGACCACAACGU
This 596-nucleotide ribosomal RNA is filed under the name Aeromonas hydrophila. RNAcentral's name for it is "partial 23S ribosomal RNA". It matches the Rfam family "Bacterial large subunit ribosomal RNA", at positions 2263 to 2853 of the family's 2925-position model. The record is from RNAcentral. Lineage: Bacteria; Pseudomonadati; Pseudomonadota; Gammaproteobacteria; Aeromonadales; Aeromonadaceae.